AAAUAUUUAAAUUUCCAUUAUUAUUAUAACAAAAUCUUUCAGAGUAAUGAUUCUCAUUAUGGAGUCAUUUGAUGAUUAAGACCAGUUGGCAAAGGAAAAAAUUGUGAUUUAGAAAUUAUGUGAUAAUUAUGAAUUGGUCUUAAGCUACAGUGUUCAUUGAUCACUUUUUAAAAUUAUGAAUGGAUUCUAUUACUUUUUAUAUGACCAGAUUACAUUAAUACUAGCAUAAUUAUGAUUUCAAAUUUUUACAAAUCAGACUUAAUUCUGAAUUCAGUUAUUAGUUUUGAUAUUGCUGAAAUAUUUUAAACUUCAGCCUCUUUUUUAACAUAUUAAAAAUACUCUUUGAAUCACUGACGCAAAAUGAAAGGCAACAAACAUAAUAAUUAGGUUAUAAUUGUUUUAAAAGUGUAUUCUUUUCCUCUGUUUUAGGAACAAGCACAAUAUAAAAAACAAUUAGAGCAGUUAAACGAGGAUAUAAUACAGCUUCACUAAAUAAGAAGGAACUCACACUUAAAGAUGUGGAAUGUAAAUUCUACAAAAUGAAAACUGCUUAUGAAGAGGUUACAACUGAGUUAGAAGAAUAUAAGGAAGCCUUUGCAGCAGCGUUGAAAGCUAACAAUUCCAUGUCAAAAAAAUUAACUAAGUAAAGAAAGCCUUUUAUGGUUCACUGAAGACAGUCAACCCCUGCAAAAUCUAGAAUCUGAUGACUGGAUCUUCUGAGAACAUCAGAGAAGGACUGCCCUUGCCAUCCACAUGACAGCAAAACUUUAAAACCUUAAACUUUGGGUUCAUAGUCUCACAACUCAGAAGGGUCCUUCCACACUUGGAACCAUAUACCCACUGGAACCCUUAAGGUAAAGCUAACAAGGACAGUUCCCCCCCAGAAGAAGAUGGCAUCCUUAAUGUGAACAGCUUUUCCCAAGAUCACAGAUCAAGACUUCUCUACUAUCAUGAGACACUUAUCUGAAGUAUCUGUGCAGCUGCUAACACUUAUAACAUGUGGAGAAAACAUGGGGUAUUAUAAAGAUUUGGUUGUAGGGAAUUAACAGAAAAACCCACUAGUUAAGCAAGUAAACUCUUUAUCUAAUUCAUUCUUUAAUCUAUUUGAUUUUAGGUGGUUUGAUUUAUGGGGACCCUGAGUUAGGAGCAUAUACCAAAUUCUUGGUGUUAUCCCAAUAGUCAUAAGAGUCUCCCUGGUGCACUGUACUUACUCAAAUGUUUUACGAGUUUGCAUGCAGGCAUCUCUAAAAUAUCAAAUGGUAUCUCUUCAACUGGAAUGACAAGAGAUUAAAAAAAAAGUGCAACCAUAAGGACACCAUAACCUAUGAGUGACAUGCUAAACCGGAAACCCAAAACAAUGAGAGUGACAUGCUAAACCAGAAACCCAAAACAAUGGGAGUGAUGUACUAAAACUGGAACCCAAAACAAUGGGAGUGACGUGCUAAACCAGAAACCCAAAACAAUGGGAGUGACUUGCUAAAACUGGAACCCAAAACAAUGGGAGUGACGUGCUAAAACCGGAAAUGAAAACAAUGGGAGUGAUGUGCUUAAACCAGAACCCAAAACAAUGGGAGUGACCUGCUAAACCAGAAACCCAAAACAAUGGGAGUGACUUGCUAAAACUGGAACCCAAAACAAUGGGAAUGACGUGCUAAAACCGGAAAUGAAAACAAUGGGAGUGAUGUGCUUAAACCAAGAACCCAAAACAAUGGGAGUGACCUGCUAACCAGAAACCCAAAACAAUGGGAGUGAGUGUAAAACCAGAAACCAAAACAAUGGGAGUGAUGUGCUUAAACUGGAACCCAAAACAAUGGGAGUGACCUGCUAAACCAGAAACCCAAAACAAUGGGAGCAUCCUGCUAAACCAGAAACUGAAAACAAUGGGAGUGACCUGCUAAACCAGAAACCCAAAACAAUGGGAGCAUCCUGCUAAACCAGAAACCCAAAACAAUGGGAGUGACGUGCUAAACCAGAACCCAAAACAAUGGGAGUGAUGUGUUAAAACAGGAACCCAAAACAAUGAGAGUGACGUGCUAAACCAGAAACCCAAAACAAUGGGAAUGACGUGCUAAAACCGGAACCCAAAACAAUGGGAGUGACGUGCUAAACCAGAAACCCAAAACAAUGGGAAUGACUUGCUAAAAUCGGAACCCAAAACAAUGGUAACUAAGAGUGAUGCUAAGGCCCUACAUUUUGGUCACACUCUCAACUAAGUGAGAACUUGACUGAAAAGGAGGAUUUUUUUUUCUAAGACAGAGUCUUGGUCUGUCCCCCAGAGUGGAGUGCAGUUGCACGAUCUCGGCUCACUGCAAGCUCCGCCUCCCGGGUUCAGGCCAUUCUCCUGCCUCAGCCUCCUGAAUAGCUGUGACUACAGGCACCCGCCACCACACUUGGCUAAUUUUUUGUAUUUUUAGUAGAGAUGAGGUUUCACCGUAUUAGCAAGGAUGGUCUCAAUCUCCUGACCUCGUGAUCUGCCCACCUCAGCCCCACAAAGUGCUGGGAUUACAGGUGUGAGCCACCGCACCCAGCCAAAAGGAGGAAUUUUUUAAGCAAAAUUAUGGGAGGCCAUUGUUUUGAACUAAGCUCAUGCAAUAGGUCCCAACAGACCAAACCAAACCAAAAUGGAGUCACUCAUGCUAAAUGUAACAUAAUCAAACUAAGACUUUAAGGAAACACAUAAAUCCUAGAACAAACCAGGUUUUGUUUUUCUCCUGUAAACAGGAUGUUCCAGCAUAAGAAGAUAUCUUCUACUCAAGUCCUUGUUCCACCUUUUCAAAUCUCACUGUUCUAUUUCCCAAGGGGUUUCUAAACCAAGUAAGUACAUUUGCAAGGGUAAUAGUGACACCAGUGACUGAAGUUUUGGCCAAUCUCUCAAAAUUGAGAAAAUAACCAAAGGGAAGGCAUUGUUAAAGUGAACUAAGUAUGGCCUGAGAAGGACUCCAUAAUUAUAUGUAUGAGUCCUUGUGGAUGAACUGCAACCUACUUUAAUAGGUAUACAAGAAUGAAAAACUAACUUGAGAGUAUGCACCUGGAACAACAGCUACAUCUUGGCCAAUCCCAAUGGCCAAACUUCAACCACUCAGGCACUGCCAAAUGUUCAAACUGUGUUCAAACAAGGCAAAUGCUGAGUUGUUUCUGUACCUCACUUCCGAUUUCGGUAUGCCAUUUCCCUUUUGUCUAUAAAUCUUCUUGCACCACAUGACUGCGCUGGAGUCUCUGUGAAUCUGCUGUGAUUCUGGGGACUGUCUGAUUCGUGAAUCGUUUAUUGCUCAAUUAAACUCCUUUAAAGUUUUCCUUUUAACAGAACUAACACAGAAGAAUUUCCAGAUCCAUGACCAGACGUUUUGUAAUAUCCAACCUUGUAUUAACAUGAAUAGACUCUUCCUUAGAUAGCUAACCUUGUUUUUAAUAUGAACAGACUCUCCCUUAGCUGAGAAAACCAGACAAACUCCAUUUGGCUCCUUCAUUUACAAGACAUCAAGGGCUCCUUACCCACCCCCUUUCCUCAAGUACUUUAACUUGUGCAAGCUGAUUUUCAACAUAUCAAAGAGUACAAUUAACUGAUAAAAAGCUGAGACAAGCGAUGUCCACAGUUCCCAGCAAAUUACUCAGAGAUAGUAUCAUAAAGCCCCCACAUUUUUCUGGCAGAUAAUGCCCAGAGCCCCCUCACCUAUCACUUUGUGGUGAAUUUAAAGCCCCUGCACCUGGAACAGUUUGUUUUCCUGUAACCAUAAGUCUUUUUAACAUUUUUGUCGUUUUUUUCUUCUGUAAAGUUGCUGCAGCUAGAAUCCCCCGUCCCCUGUCUAAACCAAAGUAUAAAAGAAAAUCUAUUCCCUUCUUCAGGGCCAAGAGAAUUUUGUGCAUUAGCCAUCUCUCAGUCACCGGCUAAUAAAGGACACCCGAAUUCAUCUCAAAGUGUGGCGUUUCUCUUUAACUCACUCAGACACCCAUAAACUCAGAAAAUACAGUGUAAAACAAACUGAAGAACAAAUAAACAACUCACCAGAGAUUUAUUCAUUUCCUGUUGCUCUUGGAAACACCCAGAGGACACUGGAAACAUAGCUGGGAUAGAAGGCAAAUGACGUGGAUUAAGGAGAGAACUGGUGUGGUGUGCUCCCAGAUUCUUCUGCCCAACACUCUAGACACAUUACCUGGGAAAGCCCUCCUCCCUCCUGAAAAAGAAAAACUUCUCCAUGGGAGAAGAGUCCUUCAUGCCUCAUUAGGGGCAGCAAAGACUCAAGUUAAGAUAAGAUACAUCUACAAGUACAUUAAUUGGUAGACAUUAGAUGCACAAUUUAUUUUUGAAUAAAAAUAUGUAUUACCUACUAAUUUAGUAACAAUAUUAUCUAAAGA
Pan troglodytes (chimpanzee) is the source of this 4353-nucleotide long non-coding RNA. RefSeq lists it as uncharacterized. The record is from RefSeq and is a predicted model, not a curated record. Lineage: Eukaryota; Metazoa; Chordata; Mammalia; Primates; Hominidae. The transcript is spliced from 3 exons.